GAAAGAAAAAAAUAGAGGUGUUGGAUCUGGACUCAUCAAUUAUUGUGGCAGAUUCAACAACUAUCAGGCUAGGGCGCAUGGUGGAAAAUAGCCAGAAUAAAACAUGGAAUCACAUUCAAAAUGGACCAAUCAAAACAUUUCAAAACGCCAAUGUGGAUAGCCAACUUAGAUAGCCUGAAACAACUCCGGACAUCUUCUCCGGUGAUCCCUCAUCGAAGCUUCAUCGUUUG
This 230-nucleotide long non-coding RNA is filed under the name Lathyrus oleraceus (garden pea). RNAcentral's name for it is "Pisum sativum (pea) long non-coding RNA (PSAT_LNC005933)". Lineage: Eukaryota; Viridiplantae; Streptophyta; Magnoliopsida; Fabales; Fabaceae. The record is from RNAcentral.